RNAcentral lists this ribosomal RNA (252 nucleotides) under uncultured bacterium. RNAcentral's name for it is "partial 16S ribosomal RNA". It matches the Rfam family "Bacterial small subunit ribosomal RNA", at positions 524 to 776 of the family's 1533-position model. The record is from RNAcentral.
UACGUAGGGGGCGAGCGUUGUCCGGAAUUAUUGGGCGUAAAGCGCGCGCAGGCGGUUCUUUAAGUCUUGUGUUUAAGCCCGGGGCUCAACCCCGGUACGCAUGGGAAACUGGGGAACUGGAGUGCAGGAGAGGGAAGCGGAAUUCCACGUGUAGCGGUGAAAUGCGUAGAGAUGUGGAGGAACACCAGUGGCGAAGGCGGCUUCCUGGCCUGUAACUGACGCUGAGGCGCGAAAGCGUGGGGAGCAAACAGG